This 473-nucleotide ribosomal RNA is filed under the name uncultured organism. Its description in RNAcentral is "partial 16S ribosomal RNA". It matches the Rfam family "Bacterial small subunit ribosomal RNA", at positions 333 to 797 of the family's 1533-position model. The record is from RNAcentral.
ACACUCCUGCGGGAGGCAGCAGUAGGGAAUCUUCGGCAAUGGGGGCAACCCUGACCGAGCAACGCCGCGUGAGUGAAGAAGGUUUUCGGAUCGUAAAGCUCUGUUGUAAGUCAAGAACGAGUGUGAGAGUGGAAAGUUCACACUGUGACGGUAGCUUACCAGAAAGGGACGGCUAACUACGUGCCAGCAGCCGCGGUAAUACGUAGGUCCCGAGCGUUGUCCGGAUUUAUUGGGCGUAAAGCGAGCGCAGGCGGUUUGAUAAGUCUGAAGUUAAAGGCUGUGGCUCAACCAUAGUUCGCUUUGGAAACUGUCAAACUUGAGUGCAGAAGGGGAGAGUGGAAUUCCAUGUGUAGCGGUGAAAUGCGUAGAUAUAUGGAGGAACACCGGUGGCGAAAGCGGCUCUCUGGUCUGUAACUGACGCUGAGGCUCGAAAGCGUGGGGAGCGAACAGGAUUAGAUACCCCAGUAGUCCCA